Molecule: long non-coding RNA, 111 nt
Filed under: Dermacentor andersoni
Lineage: Eukaryota; Metazoa; Arthropoda; Arachnida; Ixodida; Ixodidae
Description: uncharacterized LOC126526285
Source: RNAcentral
GCUGCGCCUGUCAUUCACAUAGACAGUUUAGCCAUUGUCAAAGCAGCAAUUUCGACUGGCACAGCAACGCUCAUCUGAAUGGCAUCUGUCAAUGUCGUCAACUACUCGGAC